GACGAACGCUGGCGGCGUGCUUAACACAUGCAAGUCGAACGGAAAGGCCCGGCUUUUGUGUGGUGCUCGAGUGGCGAAGGGGUGAGUAACACGUGAGUAACCUGCCCUUGACAUUGGGGUAUCUUCAGGAAACUGGGGCUCAUACCGGAUAGGAUCUUCUGCUGCAUGGUGGGGGUUGGAAAGUUUCGGCGGUUGGGGAUGGACUCGCGGCUUAUCAGCUUGUUGGUGGGGUAGUGGCUUACCAAGGCUUUGACGGGUAGCCGGCCUGAGAGGGUGACCGGCCACAUUGGGCCUGGGAUACGGCACAGACUCGAACGGGAGGCAGCGGUGGAGAAUAUUGCAUAAUGGGCGGAAGGCUGAUGCAGUCACGCCGCGUGCGGGAAGACGGGAUUCGGGUUGUAAACAGAUGUCGCCUGAGCCGAGGCGAGAGUGACGGUACUGGGUAAAGAAGCACCGGCUAACUACGUG
This 468-nucleotide ribosomal RNA is filed under the name uncultured bacterium. Its description in RNAcentral is "partial 16S ribosomal RNA". It matches the Rfam family "Bacterial small subunit ribosomal RNA", at positions 28 to 507 of the family's 1533-position model. The record is from RNAcentral.